RNAcentral lists this ribosomal RNA (515 nucleotides) under uncultured bacterium. RNAcentral describes it as "bacterial SSU rRNA". It matches the Rfam family "Bacterial small subunit ribosomal RNA", at positions 8 to 525 of the family's 1533-position model. The record is from RNAcentral.
AGAGUUUGAUCCUGGCUCAGGACGAACGCUGGCGGCGUGCUUAACACAUGCAAGUCGAACGAUGAAGCCCAGCUUGCUGGGUGGAAGAGUGGCGAACGGGUGAGUAACACGUGAGUAACCUGCCCAUCACUCUGGGAUAAGCGCUGGAAACGGCGUCUAAUACUGGAUAUGAACAGCGACCGCAUGGUCAGUUGUUGGAAAGAUUUAUUGGUGAUGGAUGGACUCGCGGCCUAUCAGCUAGUUGGUGAGGUAAUGGCUCACCAAGGCGACGACGGGUAGCCGGCCUGAGAGGGUGACCGGCCACACUGGGACUGAGACACGGCCCAGACUCCUACGGGAGGCAGCAGUAAGGAAUAUUGCGCAAUGGGCGAAAGCCUGACGCAGCGACGCCGCGUGGGGGAUGAAGGUCUUCGGAUUGUAAACCCCUUUCGGGAGGGAAGAUGGAGCGAGCAAUCGUUCGGACGGUACCUCCAGAAGCAGCCACGGCCAACUUCGUGCCAGCAGCCGCGGUAAUA